GGGCAACACUAAUCUCGCUGGCGAACAGCAACUCUGGGGCAUGGGACUGAUGGGAACUUCGGCCAUACUGCGGCUGCAUGGUGCGGAAAUGUCCGUACUCGUAAGGCACUUGAACGUACACUCGCAAGUGUACGUAAAGUGAGGGUAUGCCUGUAUGUUGUGCAACCAUAAUUUACCUCUGUCAUAUUACGUGCACCCACACUUAUAUAUCAUUUAUAUAUGAAAUGAAAGCCGUUUCUCCUGAACAAAAUGUUACAUAAUAAGUGUGGGUGCAUGUAAUAUGAAAGAGGUAAUAUGUGUAAUUCAUUG
Non-coding RNA from Pelobates cultripes (western spadefoot toad), 309 nucleotides. NCBI's taxonomy places the organism in Eukaryota, Metazoa, Chordata, Amphibia, Anura, Pelobatidae. The record is from the annotation of a GenBank genome assembly.